RNAcentral lists this signal recognition particle RNA (250 nucleotides) under Gorilla gorilla gorilla (western lowland gorilla). Its description in RNAcentral is "Metazoan signal recognition particle RNA". It matches the Rfam family "Metazoan signal recognition particle RNA". From Rfam's summary of the family: The signal recognition particle (SRP) is a universally conserved ribonucleoprotein. It is involved in the co-translational targeting of proteins to membranes. The record is from Rfam by way of RNAcentral. Lineage: Eukaryota; Metazoa; Chordata; Mammalia; Primates; Hominidae.
GCUGGGCGUGGUGGCGGGCACCUGUAGUCACAGCUACUCGGGAGGCUGAGGCAGGAGAAUGGUGUGAACCCGGGAGGCGGAGCUUGCAGUGAGCUGAGAUCGCGCCACUGCACUCCAGCCUGGGUGACAGACCGAGACUCCGUCUAAAAAAGACGGAGUUUUGCUCUUGUUGCCCAGGCCGCAGCGCAAUGGCGCGAUCUCGGCUCACUGCAACCUCUGCCUCCCGGGUUCAAACGAUCUUCUGCCUCAG